UUCAAAAGGUAUAAAAGCUUCAAAACUAUAUUCAGUUGCUGGGUUCUGCUGAUGUUAGCAGCUCAACUCUUCUGAAGCAACUGUGUUAGCUGUCCACUGGGAAGUCAAUAUGAGAGCUAUCCAUUAUGGUAUUCUUACAUGUUAUUUUCCACUCCUGAAGGCCGCAGCUGUACUUGUCUGGUCUUCUGAUCUGGUACACUACAGAUUACGGCUUUGUAAAUAUUUUUCUUGAUACCUUCUGGCCUUUUGAGGGGCAAUGAUCUCAAGAGCACCAUGGACGCACUUGCGAUAUGAGAAGUCCUCAUUUGUCCCGUCUGUUCUAACCAGAGAAAAGCAGCGAGAAUCUUGAUAUUCUGGAUGAUUUACAACCUUAAUAUCUUUGGCUCCAGAUCCAAUUUUCUCAUCUCGUCGAGGAUGAAAAUGUAAGGCCAUCAUCAAGG
Molecule: unclassified non-coding RNA, 440 nt
Filed under: Hevea brasiliensis (rubber tree)
Lineage: Eukaryota; Viridiplantae; Streptophyta; Magnoliopsida; Malpighiales; Euphorbiaceae
Source: RNAcentral